CCCUCAGGAUCCAUUAUUCAAAGAAAAUCUAUAAUAUUUUUACGGGAUUUUAAGAUGUCUACCCGUCUGCACUUUCAGGUAUUAACAUACUAUAUAUAUCGAGGAAGAUAACCGCACUAUCUUCCCAUGAAGUAAUACUUAGUCCAGUGGUCCCGUGGGAGAGACAUGAAAUGGGAGUGGGUUAGGUUUAGCGGAUUAAAGGCCUGCACUUCGGCUUUCGAUGCUUCCUCCUACUAUAAAAAAGUAAUAUAUUCAAAGCUUUCCAAAAUUACUGAAGAAAUUUUAGUGAGGUUUAACUGACAGGAAUUAUUGCAACGAAGUGUGGAACUGAGUUUCAAGCUGAAUCAGUAGAUAGUCUGUGUAUUCUGUCCGAGUUUUGGGAGCACCAGAGAUUGAUAAAAGGUAUGCUAUAAAAGGUAGAAAGGGAAGCUACUAGGGAGCAGGAAACAGCAAUGAUAUAACUGGAAUGAGUAGAGAGGAACAAAGUUUGAAGAUUAAAAGUGGAAACAAUGCUCUUGAUUAUAAUAAAAUCCAAGUCUGGAGUUAAAGAACAUAAAAAGUUGGAAAACCUUUCAAAUAUACAUACCUACGGACAAAAGUAUGUAUGUAUGUACAUAUUCAUGUCAGACAAAUAUUGACAAAGCUUCAUGAUGACACGCGGCUGUCAGCGCAGCUUUUGUCACCCCUGACAUCAUCAAUGACGCCAGUCUACCUGUGAGCACUUGCCUUUAUGCGCCAAUUUUCCGUUCGUCAUGCCAUCAUACAUUCAGCUGUCACCGACGCCGACUUGUCUGACAGUUGAUUAUCGUUAUGUUGUCAUAGCCAGACAACACCUGCGCAGGCAAAAUUUCACAGCAAGCAAAUUUGAAGAGAUUUUAAAUUCAAAUAAUAUUUCGGUAGGUGAAUAAGUAAUGCGACACAAUAGCCUUCAAUGAGAGACCUCCUUUUGAUGACGACCUCUGCAAACGUAUUACCGAUUACGAUUUACGGUCAUGGACCUGGAAGGCGCUUUAUGCUUUAUGACACGUUACGAGGUUUGAGCUGAGCCCCUCGAGUUAGUCUACUUCGAUAUUGUAGAUCCGGCUGUAAUAUCUAUAAAUAUAUUCCAGUACAACGCUCUAAAAAUGUCUAUAUGUAGACGCAAACUCUCCGGUCCCGAAGAAAAUGAGUCAGCAAAAUAUAAGCCAAAUAGCGGAGGCGUCCCUGGAUGCAGGGAGAGUAGAAAAUGGCCUGCAAUAGGUCCAUCUGAGAAUACUUGCAACCCGGGGCGAAGAAAAGAUCAAUGGUAGAAGAGGCAGUGUUUUAGUGGGUACACAACUCAGAUAAGAUGACGA
Molecule: long non-coding RNA, 1334 nt
Organism: Bactrocera neohumeralis
Lineage: Eukaryota; Metazoa; Arthropoda; Insecta; Diptera; Tephritidae
Exons: 3
Source: RefSeq, a predicted model, not a curated record